Molecule: long non-coding RNA, 605 nt
Organism: Oncorhynchus tshawytscha (Chinook salmon)
Lineage: Eukaryota; Metazoa; Chordata; Actinopteri; Salmoniformes; Salmonidae
Source: Ensembl
GUUCUGUUCUGUCUGCUUGGAUUCAAGAGAUUAGUGGCCUAUGGUUGCCUUAAUCUUUCGCAGGCUGUUAUGUUCUUUUGUUAAAGUAUUUGCAAUUUUGAUGGUAUAAUAUAGUUUUGAUAAAUAUAAACUCAGCAAAAAAAGAAACGUCCUCUCACUGUCAACUGCGUUUAUUAAAGGCAAACUUAACAUCUCAAUGGACCUCCUCUUGAUCUUUCUCCUCUGGAAAGGCCAUGCAGCAGAGUAUAGGUAUUCAGACCUUCCUGGGUAAUGGACAGACCAUCUUUUCCAGAAUACAUUGGCAUGGGAUCCGGCGGUCCUUUCUUUGAAGGACUUCAAUGAAAGAUGGCCAACCCUGUUUGAACCCACUCGGGUACAAAAUACAGCCGAAGGAAAAUAGUCAAUAUUAAGGACGAGUUCAGAAGAAUUACAACUGUUUCUCUUGAGUCCACCUUUAUGCAGAAGCUGGACGAAUAUACACCAACAUGUUUUGACUUGUUUAAGUCAAAAGGAGGUGCUAUAAAGGCGGUUUGUAACAGUAUAGACUGAUGAUAAAUGAUAACAUUUAUUUUAUUAAAAUAAAGAUGUGGAAGUUUGAAGUUGAA